Molecule: non-coding RNA, 75 nt
Organism: Paramarasmius palmivorus
Lineage: Eukaryota; Fungi; Basidiomycota; Agaricomycetes; Agaricales; Marasmiaceae
Source: the annotation of a GenBank genome assembly
GCCUGGUAGUAUAGGGGUUAAUACACGUGCCUAUCAUGAAUGUUGAAAUCUGGGCUCGAUUCCCAGCCAGGGGCA